This 253-nucleotide ribosomal RNA is filed under the name uncultured bacterium. Its description in RNAcentral is "partial 16S ribosomal RNA". It matches the Rfam family "Bacterial small subunit ribosomal RNA", at positions 524 to 776 of the family's 1533-position model. The record is from RNAcentral.
UACGAAGGGGGCUAGCGUUGCUCGGAAUCACUGGGCGUAAAGGGUGCGUAGGCGGGUCUUUAAGUCAGGGGUGAAAUCCUCCGGCUCAACCGGAGAACGGCCUCGGAUACUGGCGACCUUGAGGCAGGUAGGGGCAAGCGGAACUGUGGGUGGAGCGGUGAAAUGCGUUGAUAUCCACAGGAACUCCGGUGGCGAAGGCGGCUUGCUGGACCUGUUCUGACGCUGAGGCGCGAAAGCCAGGGGAGCGAACGGG